UCCAGACUCCUACGGGAGGCAGCAGUGGGGAAUAUUGCACAAUGGGGGAAACCCUGAUGCAGCGACGCCGCGUGAGUGAAGAAGUCUUUCGGUAUGUAAAGCUCUAUCAGCAGGAAAGAAAAUGACGGUACCUGACUAAGAAGCCCCGGCUAACUACGUGCCAGCAGCCGCGGUCAUACGUAGGGGGCGAGCGUUAUCCGGAUUCAUUGGGCGUAAAGCGCGCGUAGGCGGCCGCCUAAGCGGAACCUCUAACCCCGGGGCUCAACCUCGGGCCGGGUUCCGGACUGGGCGGCUCGAGUGCGGUAGAGGAGAGCGGAAUUCCCGGUGUAGCGGUGGAAUGCGCAGAUAUCGGGAAGAACACCGAUGGCGAAGGCAGCUUACUGGACGGCAACUGACGCUGAGGCUCGAAAGCGUGGGGAGCAAACAGGAUUAGAUACCCGCGUAC
This 445-nucleotide ribosomal RNA is filed under the name uncultured bacterium. Its description in RNAcentral is "partial 16S ribosomal RNA". It matches the Rfam family "Bacterial small subunit ribosomal RNA", at positions 330 to 793 of the family's 1533-position model. The record is from RNAcentral.